This 440-nucleotide ribosomal RNA is filed under the name uncultured Allobrachymonas sp. Its description in RNAcentral is "bacterial SSU rRNA". It matches the Rfam family "Bacterial small subunit ribosomal RNA", at positions 936 to 1382 of the family's 1533-position model. The record is from RNAcentral. Lineage: Bacteria; Pseudomonadati; Pseudomonadota; Betaproteobacteria; Burkholderiales; Comamonadaceae.
AUGAUGUGGUUUAAUUCGAUGCAACGCGAAAACCUUACCCACCUUUGACAUGGCAGGAAUCCCGAAGAGAUUUGGGAGUGCUCGAAAGAGAACCUGCACACAGGUGCUGCAUGGCUGUCGUCAGCUCGUGUCGUGAGAUGUUGGGUUAAGUCCCGCAACGAGCGCAACCCUUGCCAUUAGUUGCUACGAAAGGGCACUCUAAUGGGACUGCCGGUGACAAACCGGAGGAAGUGGGGAUGACGUCAAGUCCUCAUGGCCCUUAUAGGUGGGGCUACACACGUCAUACAAUGGCCGGUACAGAGGGUAGCCAACCCGCGAGGGGGAGCCAAUCCCACAAAGCCGGUCGUAGUCCGGAUCGCAGUCUGCAACUCGACUGCGUGAAGUCGGAAUCGCUAGUAAUCGUGGAUCAGCAUGUCACGGUGAAUACGUUCCCGGGUCUU